GUACCAGGAAGUUGACUGCUCGGUUCAGUCUUCGGUCUACGGAGGUCCUGGCCGCGAAGGCUGCGUCCUGCGCAGGCUGCAGCCCCAUGAAUUGAGACACAGCCUGUGUGAGGAUAGCGCCACAAUUUGCCCGGAGUGUAGGAAAAUGCGCAUGCCCAAAACUUCUGUCAAUUAGCAGAUGAUACCAACACGUGUGGCUUUUGCUCAACAUUUGAACCACUCAAGAUAGAUAGUAGCUAACUGCGAUCUCCAUGCACAAUGUGGAAUAUCUUCUACAGUAGGCCUACACAUUUAAAAGUUUACUUUAUAAAGAAAACCGGGAAAUGAAACACCUCGGUGCCCACCAGCCGCGGAUAUUGUUAUAAACCAAACCGCUAGUAAAAAUAAUCAAAUUAAACGCGGAGUGAUUCUCCAGCACCAAACAUGAAAGCAGCAGGACAACGCCUUUGAAGUAACGCGACAUAGCAAACACAUGGUGUAUAUUGAUGUCAGUGCAGGUACAUUGAGGACACUGUCAGAUCUGUGUGGAUGUUUCUUCUCUCCUGCCACUACUGGAUCACACUCCUGUCCCAGAUGCCAACUCAAGAGGAGCUUAAUGCGAUCGAUCGGCCAGGCCCUUUCAAGAUCAGCGCCAGUAUAAGCAUCUCUUCCCCUAACACACAUGCUGCCUCUUUCCCCUCAGUUGGCCUCCGCUUCAUGUCUGAGGAACACCUGGCACACUUUGACAAGGCAGUGAUCUCAAGCUCUGUGCGUUUGUGACGGCAGCCCUGCGAAGACAAAAGGUGAGCAGCUGUAGAGAUGCUGGUGUUUGUCAGGCAGGUAGGUAGAGAGCAGAAUAAUGGAAUCAAUACUAUUGUCUGUAACGUACCUGCCGCUGGCUCUCUGUCUGGCCCCAUAGACCAUCAGAGAGAGAGAGAGAGAACACACAGACUCACUCUGACUGGGAAAGAAGAGG
This 955-nucleotide long non-coding RNA is filed under the name Cottoperca gobio. RNAcentral's name for it is "lncRNA (ENSCGOG00000015694.1)". Lineage: Eukaryota; Metazoa; Chordata; Actinopteri; Perciformes; Bovichtidae. The record is from RNAcentral.